Long non-coding RNA from Neltuma alba, 244 nucleotides. RefSeq lists it as uncharacterized. Lineage: Eukaryota; Viridiplantae; Streptophyta; Magnoliopsida; Fabales; Fabaceae. The transcript is spliced from 4 exons. The record is from RefSeq and is a predicted model, not a curated record.
ACAUUACCAUAGUACAAAAUAAAGCCAUUAGGACUGAAGAGAUGAAUGAGACCAUUCAAAUACCAUUAGCUGAGGCUGGUGAAAGCACAUUAACUCAGACCUCAGUUCAAGAAAUAGAUGGUAUUAGGAAUCAGGAGAUGAACUUAGAGAACGCCUUAGUUCCUAUUGCUCAAAAUACACUAAGCUCUUCCGUCAUUAACAAUAUGGCUAUUGGUCCACCUUCACAAGCUUUUGAAGCCGUGAC